ACGGGUGAGUAAUAUAUCGGAACGUGCCCAAUCGUGGGGGAUAACGUAGAGAAAUUUACGCUAAUACCGCAUACGAUCUAAGGAUGAAAGCGGGGGAUCGCAAGACCUCGCGCGAUUGGAGCGGCUGAUAUCAGAUUAGGUUGUUGGUGAGGUAAAAGCUCACCAAGCCGACGAUCUGUAGCUGGUUUGAGAGAACGACCAGCCACACUGGGACUGAGACACGGCCCAGACUCCUACGGGAGGCAGCAGUGGGGAAUUUUGGACAAUGGGCGAAAGCCUGAUCCAGCAAUGCCGCGUGCAGGAAGAAGGCCUUCGGGUUGUAAACUGCUUUUGUACGGAACGAAACGGUCUGCCCUAAUACGGCGGGCUAAUGACGGUACCGUAAGAAUAAGCACCGGCUAACUACGUGCCAGCAGCCGCGGUAAUACGUAGGGUGCGAGCGUUAAUCGGAAUUACUGGGCGUAAAGCGUGCGCAGGCGGUUAUGUAAGACAGUUGUGAAAUCCCCGGGCUCAACCUGGGAAUUGCAUCUGUGACUGCAUAGCUAGAGUACGGUAGAGGGGGAUGGAAUUCCGCGUGUAGCAGUGAAAUGC
Molecule: ribosomal RNA, 591 nt
Filed under: Polaromonas sp. StTD653
Lineage: Bacteria; Pseudomonadati; Pseudomonadota; Betaproteobacteria; Burkholderiales; Comamonadaceae
Also listed under: 2 other names
Description: bacterial SSU rRNA
Rfam family: Bacterial small subunit ribosomal RNA
Source: RNAcentral